Molecule: ribosomal RNA, 985 nt
Filed under: Mortierella turficola
Lineage: Eukaryota; Fungi; Mortierellomycota; Mortierellomycetes; Mortierellales; Mortierellaceae
Description: eukaryotic LSU rRNA
Rfam family: Eukaryotic large subunit ribosomal RNA
Source: RNAcentral
AGUGAAGCGGGAUGAGCUCAAAUUUAAAAUCUGGCUGGUUUACUAGUCCGAGUUGUAGUUUAAAGAAGCGUUUUCGGUGGCAGUCUCGGUAUAAAUCCUUUGGAAUAGGGUAUCAUAGAGGGUGAGAAUCCCGUCUUUGACUGAGAAUAUGCUACUAUGUGAUACGUUUUCAAAGAGUCGAGUUGUUUGGGAAUGCAGCUCAAAAUGGGUGGUAAAUUUCAUCUAAAGCUAAAUAUUGGCGAGAGACCGAUAGCGAACAAGUACCGUGAGGGAAAGAUGAAAAGAACUUUGAAAAGAGAGUUAAACAGUGCGUGAAAUUGUUGAAAGGGAAACGCUUGAAACCAGUCAUGCGGUUGGGAAAUCAGUCUCUGACGGGGGGGAAUGGGGGAGGUGUGGACCGCAAGGCCGCUCUUUCUUAUAUCUUUCUCGGCAGGGAUGCACUUUUUCUUCUGCAGGUCAACAUCAGUUUGCUUUGCCGGACAAAACUCUUGGGAAGGUGACAGCUUAGGCUGUGUUAUAGCCCUUGAGCGAUACGGUGGAGUGGACUGAGGUUUUCGCAGCAUGUGCUCUCGGGCAAGGCUGAUUGGGUGCUAUGAGAUCGUUCAGGGUACAAUACAUGUAUUUUGCCUUGUGUCUUUUUUAUACUCGCUCAACUCGGCUCUUCCAUGCUUAGGAUGUUGACAUAAUGGUUUUAAUCGACCCGUCUUGAAACACGGACCAAGGAGUCUAACAUAUAUGCAAGUGUUUGGGUGGCAAACCCAUGCGCGUAAUGAAAGUGAACGUAGGUGCGAUCCGCAAGGUGCAGCAUCGACCGAUCUUGAUAUUUUUGGAUAGAUUUGAGUAAGAGCAUAUAUGCUGGGACCCGAAAGAUGGUGAACUAUGCCUGAAUAGGGUGAAGCCAGAGGAAACUCUGGUGGAGGCUCGUAGCGAUUCUGACGUGCAAAUCGAUCGUCAAAUUUGGGUAUAGGGGCGAAAGACUAAUCGA